UAUGCAUCGAGAAACAACCAAGAUUAUUGAAUGAAUAACGUCCAUCUUGCAAACGUGUAUAAAAUCUUUCCAAAGGUGUUUGAUAUUGUUUGUUUAUUAGCUAUUUGCAUUUUUGUGCAUUUGAAAGUUAUUAUUUGUUGCGAAUUGUGCUGUCGUGUUUACUUAAUCAAUAUGAGUAAACGAGUAAAGGUCUGCUGUGUACCAGGAUGCACGAAUAAGCAAGCGAUAAGAUAUUCCAUUCCUACGAAUGAAGACGAUUGCAGAAUUUGGUUGCAAAGAAUAAAUAACCCCAAGUGAAUAAUAGCAGAUACAGUAUUAACAACACAUAGAAUACGUGAUAUUCUUUUUGAAUCAAUUUGUAGAAACCCCAAUGGCAGGUUAAAAAAACUUUUACUGCCAACUCUAUAUUUACCUAAAUCUAUUGCAAGGACUAGUUCCUCUAUCAGCACCUUUACUGGUAACAGCCCAAUAGAGGGAACAAAAAAACCUGUUAAGGUGUACACUAGGAAGCGAUUAUUUCAAGCCCUUGUUGAAGAACCUUGUAGCUCCUUGAGUAUCCUGUAUGAACCAUCAAUAUUGACUAAUAUGGCAACAGAUAAACUUGAAGGAAAGGGAAUCAAUUCUUUACACAUAAAAAAACAAAUAUUUUGUUUGGAGGAUUUGACAGACAUUUCCUCAAUAUUUUGUUCAGAUCAUAAGGAUUAUGUAAAUAUGCCUUUAAAUAUUAGUUUUAACAUAUGCAUCUUUCAUUACAUAGGUAUUAUUAAAAAAAUUUUUAAGGGCAAAGAUCAACAAUAUAAAGACUAUGAUGUUGUGAUGAAUAUGGCAUAUGUUAAAUAUAGGGAAAGCUGCAAGAAAGACAACGGUAAUCAUUAAUUAACCAUGGUUAUAAAAUCAGUCUUUUUAUACCAUGUACAAACAGAAACAUUUUUUAAACACGCCAACAUCUCACUGUUGACAGUCCUAAGCCUGCUAAAGUGUGAAAGAAAAUUUUUUGUUUGGGAAUAUAGUUAUAAAAUGUCAAAAACAAAAUAAAAACUAUAAUAAUCA
Molecule: long non-coding RNA, 1050 nt
Organism: Diorhabda carinulata
Lineage: Eukaryota; Metazoa; Arthropoda; Insecta; Coleoptera; Chrysomelidae
Exons: 4
Source: RefSeq, a predicted model, not a curated record